GUUGAGUUGAGUUGAGUUGAAUUCUAAAAUCUAUCAAAAAUUCAAGAAGCCAAAGUCAUUUCCCUUUCCAAUAUCUAUCCAAUCUUCAUUACAGAUAUUAGCCCAAGCCCCUUUCUAGUUUUGCAUUGAGGAAUAAAAGAAGUCAGUUCUUUGCCAUUGCAAGUGUCACAAAGUAAGGAAACAAACUUUCUUGCUGCUAAUAUCUGUUAAGAAUUGGACCAUAUGAUGCCUCUAGAAUAGAAACAAAGCAAAAUAGUGAACUUGUGGUUGGUGGUUGUUACAAAUCUUUUUACUCUAAAAAACAUAGAAUAUAUAUAUAUGAUAAAAGACAUUAUAGUAUCUAACAUGAUGACACUAACACAUGGUACGCAUAAUUUUAUACUUUUUGAAUUGCA
This 395-nucleotide unclassified non-coding RNA is filed under the name Hevea brasiliensis (rubber tree). The record is from RNAcentral. Lineage: Eukaryota; Viridiplantae; Streptophyta; Magnoliopsida; Malpighiales; Euphorbiaceae.